AUUGAACGCUGGCGGCAGGCCUAACACAUGCAAGCCGAACGGUAGCACAGAGAGCUUGCUCUCGGGUGACGAGUGGCGGACGGGUGAGUAAUGUCUGGGAAACUGCCCGAUGGAGGGGGAUAACUACUGGAAACGGUAGCUAAUACCGCAUAACGUCGCAAGACCAAAGUGGGGGACCUUCGGGCCUCACACCAUCGGAUGUGCCCAGAUGGGAUUAGCUAGUAGGUGGGGUAAUGGCUCACCUAGGCGACGAUCCCUAGCUGGUCUGAGAGGAUGACCAGCCACACUGGAACUGAGGCACGGUCCAGACUCCUACGGGAGGCAGCAGUGGGGAAUAUUGCACAAUGGGCGCAAGCCUGAUGCAGCCAUGCCGCGUGUAUGAAGAAGGCCUUCGGGUUGUAAAGUACUUUCAGCGGGGAGGAAGGCGGUGGAGUUAAUAACUUCACCGAUUGACGUUACCCGCAGAAGAAGCACCGGCUAACUCCGUGCCAGCCGCCGCAGUAA
Molecule: ribosomal RNA, 504 nt
Filed under: uncultured bacterium
Lineage: Bacteria
Description: partial 16S ribosomal RNA
Rfam family: Bacterial small subunit ribosomal RNA
Source: RNAcentral